RNAcentral lists this ribosomal RNA (765 nucleotides) under Streptococcus anginosus. RNAcentral's name for it is "bacterial SSU rRNA". It matches the Rfam family "Bacterial small subunit ribosomal RNA", at positions 28 to 776 of the family's 1533-position model. Lineage: Bacteria; Bacillati; Bacillota; Bacilli; Lactobacillales; Streptococcaceae. The record is from RNAcentral.
GACGAACGCUGGCGGCGUGCCUAAUACAUGCAAGUAGAACGCUGAAGCUUGGUGCUUGCACCGAGCGGAUGAGUUGCGAACGGGUGAGUAACGCGUAGGUAACCUGCCUGGUAGCGGGGGAUAACUAUUGGAAACGAUAGCUGAUACCGCAUAACAGUAUGUAACACAUGUUAGAUGCUUGAAAGAUGCAAUUGCAUCGCUAGUAGAUGGACCUGCGUUGUAUUAGCUAGUAGGUAGGGUAAAGGCCUACCUAGGCAACGAUACAUAGCCGACCUGAGAGGGUGAUCGGCCACACUGGGACUGAGACACGGCCCAGACUCCUACGGGAGGCAGCAGUAGGGAAUCUUCGGCAAUGGGGGGAACCCUGACCGAGCAACGCCGCGUGAGUGAAGAAGGUUUUCGGAUCGUAAAGCUCUGUUGUUAAGGAAGAACGAGUGUGAGAAUGGAAAGUUCAUACUGUGACGGUACUUAACCAGAAAGGGACGGCUAACUACGUGCCAGCAGCCGCGGUAAUACGUAGGUCCCGAGCGUUGUCCGGAUUUAUUGGGCGUAAAGCGGGCGCAGGCGGUUAGAAAAGUCUGAAGUGAAAGGCAGUGGCUCAACCAUUGUAGGCUUUGGAAACUGUUUAACUUGAGUGCAGAAGGGGAGAGUGGAAUUCCAUGUGUAGCGGUGAAAUGCGUAGAUAUAUGGAGGAACACCGGUGGCGAAAGCGGCUCUCUGGUCUGUAACUGACGCUGAGGCUCGAAAGCGUGGGGAGCGAACAGG